Molecule: transfer RNA, 72 nt
Filed under: Heterocephalus glaber (naked mole-rat)
Lineage: Eukaryota; Metazoa; Chordata; Mammalia; Rodentia; Bathyergidae
Rfam family: tRNA
About the family: Transfer RNA (tRNA) molecules are approximately 80 nucleotides in length. Their secondary structure includes four short double-helical elements and three loops (D, anti-codon, and T loops).
Source: Rfam by way of RNAcentral
GCAGGUGUAGCUCAGUGACAGAACACUUGCCUAGCAUGCUUGAGGCCCUGAGUUAAAUUCCCAGCACAUGUG